This 415-nucleotide ribosomal RNA is filed under the name uncultured bacterium. RNAcentral's name for it is "bacterial SSU rRNA". It matches the Rfam family "Bacterial small subunit ribosomal RNA", at positions 355 to 787 of the family's 1533-position model. The record is from RNAcentral.
UGGGGAAUAUUGGGCAAUGGGCGCAAGCCUGACCCAGCAACGCCGCGUGAAGGAAGAAGGCUUUCGGGUUGUAAACUUCUUUUCUGAGGGACGAUAGUGACGGUACCUCAGGAAUAAGCCACGGCUAACUACGUGCCAGCAGCCGCGGUAAUACGUAGGUGGCAAGCGUUAUCCGGAUUUACUGGGUGUAAAGGGCGUGUAGGCGGGAUUGCAAGUCAGAUGUGAAAACUAUGGGCUCAACCCAUAGCCUGCAUUUGAAACUGUAGUUCUUGAGUGUUGGAGAGGCAGGCGGAAUUCCGUGUGUAGCGGUGAAAUGCGUAGAUAUACGGAGGAACACCAGUGGCGAAGGCGGCCUGCUGGACAAUAACUGACGCUGAGGCGCGAAAGCGUGGGGAGCAAACAGGAUUAGAUACCC